CAUUUAAUUUGCAAGGGAACACAAUUGUUCAACAGGAUAUUGACAUAAAAUUACAGUAUGUUCUCAAACUCCUAAACUUUUCAACUACUGAUACUCUGGAUUGUACUACACGUGGGCAGCAUACAGAGCAUUGUCAGGACAGUGAAAUGAAUAAGAAAACCAUCGAACUUUGAAGGCUAAGAAAUAUUUUGCACUACAGAUAGUUUGAGGGUAAUUCUGGACAAUCCCUUACAAUCUGAAGUUAAUGAUACUCUACAGCCCUGCAUGCUGACUGAAAAUGAUUAUAUUUUUCUUAUAGAUAAAGAUAACAUUGUGAAGACUCACCAAACUAACACCAAUAAAACAUUUUUCUUGCUGGUAUUCUGGUAUAUUAUCCUCUAGAUUUAGCAUCCAAUAAAUUUUGGUUCAACUUUGCAUUCCCUCAACAUUUCUACAUAUAAGAGCAUUUCCAUUUAUCAAGUGAGAAGAAGAGAGCUGGAUAUUUAAUAAAGAGAUGGCAAACAAUCUUUUUUCAAUAACCUUCCAUCACAAUGAGGAAAAUGGGUUCUGUCAACUUUGCCUGACCUACCAGAGAAAAUAACUAUUCUAGAGAAAUCAUAAGAACAAGAGAGGUUGACUGCGAAAUCAAAGGAUGGAUAUUGUUAAGAUGCUUUGCAUGGUAGGAAUUCUUAGUUAUUUCUUUCACUGGAAGGCUACAAAUUGAUCUUUUUCCCAUUGGUUUGGUCCAUUGUUCUAUGGUCUCCAAGUACCAUCGUAAUUUAAGACAAAAUCCAGGAUCUUGUACUAGAUAUUGGUACAGAGUUCAAGACUGGGCAUUUCUAGACUUAUGUCUUGCAAAGCAUGUAUUAGCAAAGCCCAUAGGAUCACAUGCAACCUUGCAGGAUAUAUGUGUCUAUAAGGCACUGUAGAAUAACUGUCACUGAAAGGGAUUGAGACUACUCCUGAAAGUCCACAAAAGUAUAACCUACUACCCUUGUAUAACUUUAAGUUCAUGUAAGAUGGUACUCUUCUAGGUCCAAUUUUGUGGAAAAAUGUUCUUGAGGUACAUGCAGAUAUGAAAACAGAAGAGAGCGAGUUUAUCUGAAACAAAAUUGUAAACACUGUAAUUUUACUGUAUUAAUUUUAGUGCGUCCACACAUCUCCCAAGAUCUUCAGCAAACUUAAUCCUAUAAAGAAGAAUAUGCAUAGGUAAAAAACCCCACCCAAUAUUUGUACAGAAUACAUGCCUGGCAAAUCUCUGCAAUAUAAUACCAAAGACACUGAUUUAAAAUCAGCUAGAUUAUGUAUAUUGUUGUGCUGACUGGAAGACACAGAGUCGUUUCUUUUUUUCCUAAUUCCUCAUAUUUUGUGUGUAUAUACAUUUAUGUGUAUACACACAAAACAUGAGAAGUCAGAAUUAAGGGAAAUGUGUUUGGAAUCAAACAUGAUAGGGAAAAAUUCCAGCUUUAAUUGAUCAUUGUGAAAGAUACAUUUUACAUGACAAGAGAAAGCUAACUGCUAUAUGCAAUUAUGUUAGUGGCAAUGUUGGGUUCAUAAUUGAUGAAAGGGAAAAUAAAGAGUGAUACAAAAAUUAUAGUUUGAAGAACAGAAAAGCAGGAACAUAGUUGCAAUGCAUAACACUUCUAAAAUAUGCUACAGAACAUCAGCAUGUUUUAUGCAAAAAAAUCAGCAUUAUAUGGUCUUAAGCAUCACUUGAAAUACCAUGUAAUUACUACUUUUAUAUUUAGAAAGUACUUUAUUCUACAUUUUCUAUUACCUAAGGUUAGCUAUUUUGAUUGAAUGAACAGAAAUAGUAAAAUGUAACUGAACUUUUAAGAAAUGAACUACAGUAAAUGGUGGUGUACACCCCCACAUCCCUGCAAAAUUUGGAUAAAUACUGUACCUGUUCGUGAGUGCACUAGUCCAAGUACUACACUACAAUGAGAUGACAUGUUCUUUACUCCAGUAAAACUCCCACUGACUUCAAAAGAACUUUGCACUGCAAUAGCAUUCAGAGUACCUGGGUUUGGUUUUGACUCGGCAGAAUGAUGGAUGGAUUCUGCUGUCAGCAGAUGGGAAAUGGCAUUAGCAAAAGGACAGGAAAAAACAUUGCUUUCUUUCUGUCCACUAGCCCUCUUCCCUUCUGCACAAAUACAGAUCUUGUGAUCUCCGCCCUGGUCUGCCUCCAUUGCUGUCCAGUAUGCUUGGGCUAAAUGACAAUCUGGCCCUGGACCAAACAAAUUUAAGCAGCAUAACAGGUGCAGAGAACUGUCCCCCGAAUCUUCUUUUUCCCUUGCAAAGAUCUAGCUCAAGGUCAACACACAAUUUACACCCUACAAAAACCCAGUUUCAGAGAAGUUAGAGGUUGUUAAGUAUGAUAUUGACUUUUAGCUUGACCUUUACAUGAGGAUAAAUUUCACCUACUUUAAGGAUAUUUUCCAAAAUGUAUGUCAUUCAAGUCACCAGUCAAAUGGAACUGGAUAGCAAUACACAGCACAGAGACUGUAAAAAGUUACACAGAAUAUUUGUUUUUUUUAGUUCAUACUAAUAAUUUGUACAAUUCUAGGAUACCAUUAAUUAUUUUUUGAAGUAACUGUUUUAAUUGUUUGAUAGCAGCAAAGUAGUAUUUCAAUGUACACCAGUUCUCUGUUAAAACAAGAAAUCUAAAGUAAAAUAACGCUUGUGAAUAGUCUUUAUAAACAGCCAUGGAUCUGAAUCAAAUUUGCCACCAAACUGGCAGACAGAAAAUACAUUAAAUGAAUAGACAAUUCAGUAAUAUCCACCAGAUAACUAAAAUUGAAAUUUUAUUUCUUUCAAUAAUAUUCAUCAGACAUGUUUCUGACAAGACUUUUCUGAAAGAUGAAGUGCAAAUGGGAACCCUGUAAGAAUGUUUAUAAGAAUUGUACAUGACAUUUCUUAAGCGCCACUAAGUACACAUUGAAUACUUUGUAAGUAUAUAGGCAUAGCAACAUGCAAGUGUCAUGUACCUAAUAUUACAAUAUGCAUUUUGUUUGCUUAUUCAUGAGAAAAUUAAAUUAAAUAAACAUGGUUCAAUCAUCAGUGCAAUAUAUUUAAUUCCAGUUGAUUUUACUUACAGCAGUUUUAUUUUAUUUUUUUCCAAGCAGAGACGAACACUUCCAAAUGUCAUGAAUUACAAGUCUAAGACCAGAGCACAGAGGAGUUCCUAUAAGGUUACAUUUAUACAGUGUGCCAGCAGAGGUUGUUGAUAUAAUCUUUUCACAAAUUGUGUGUUAUUUAUUCUAGAAACUUCCUGCAGUACUGAAGGUGUUUUGUUGUUAUGAAAUAUCUAGACUGAAAGUAAAGGAUGCACAAAGAAUACAUUAUACGGUGUAAACAUUUGCAUUAAGGACCUGAUUUUAGCUCCACUUAAACCAAGAGGAAUGUUGUAUUUGUCAAAGGAGGACAUCUAUGACUUAAAAAGCCUACAAGUUCAGCUCUCAAACUCUGCUGAGCUACAUUCAGUAGAUAAAAGUAGAACAUUUUAUAGUAUAUCUGCAUAUUUCUAUAGAAACUACAUAGUGACAUGUGGAAAUCUAUUUACAUUUAAUAAGGACUUAAAUAUGCACACACAUAUUUACUAUCAUGAUUCAAUAUAAAUAGAAAGGAGGAAGGAGCAGGAGGAUGGAACAGUAAUCCAGUCCAAACAUAAAAUAUCUCCUUUGGUUGGUUCCUUUGGAACCAAAAUAAACAGUUUGUGGGCAUCAUUUCUUUUUAACCAAACAAAAUGUUCUUUGGAAACUCUUUUUUAAUUUAAUACAAAUAUUCUCUCCUUUCUUGUAAAGCCAGAUGAAAAAUAGAAACCUCUAAUCAUUUAGAAAAAAAUAAAUCCUGUGUGCAAAGGCAGGAUAAGGCUACAUGUAGUUUGCACUGGGCACAUCUACACAUGAAGCUACGUUGCUGUAGCAAUGUGCUAUGGCAACAUAGAGUCUGCAGGCAAAAACCAUGACACCACAGCUACGUCAUCAUAGCUACAUGCUUGGCUAUAGCACAUUGCUAUAGCAACAUAGUGCCUAAAAACAACCAUGCAUGGCAUGCAUGGUGCUGUAUGGGCUGUUACUGUGCCAUCAUUUAGUAUUUCCAAAAGGAAGCACUAAAUGACAGCGCAGUAACAACAGCGCCAUAGUGAUAUACAAGAUUAGAGCUCUCAGAAAUCACUGCUGGACGCCACAUACAGGGAAAGUGCUUAAAGCUGUGGUUCUCAGCUUUUAUAUAAUCAAGACACCCCAGUGAGACUCGAGACACUCCUGAGAAAAUGCCAGCUCUUAGUUUUUACCUUUUUUUGACUACAGAAAAAUAAUAGACCAAUUUUGCUGUUGCAAAGAACUCAGAAAGGAAACAACAGGUCAACAUGUUUUUUACCUUGUGGAUUCUUAUUUGAAAUCUUGGGGUAUGUCUUAUGAAACAUGUUUGCACCUAAGAUUGCUAAUGUUAUAUGGCAUCCCAUGGUACCAAAGGAGUUCAAGGCACCCCAGGGUGCUUCAACACCCUGGUUGAGAAUCACUGGCUUAAGGGCUGACCCCCAGCAGGUUUAGAUUUCAUACCAGAAAUAUUUUUUUUAAAUCCUUUAACUUUUCUUUCCUAACAUAGAAGGUUCAUUGGGAACGACUUUUUUUCAAUCUUCUUUCUAGUUGGGCUAUACUUUUUAACAAAGUAAAAAGUAUGUUACAUAGGCUAGAUCUGUGGCUGUACACAGAAGGAAUGCAGCUGCUUUAACCUGUUGCAGGGAGACUCCCCACUGCACCUGGGAAAUCCCCAUGUGCUAUAAGUUAUAUUAACUUUAGUACUUACCACUGUCUAUCUGCAAUGCAGCAGGCAUUUCAGGGAAAAAUGGGCAUAAUUGGGUAACAUGGUUAUUCCUAAUGGUUUAACCAAACCCUCUUGGGAGCCACUGGCAGCUCCUAUUUAUUACAGCAAUGCUAGACUGGAGAGGGAACCGUAUUUGUACUCCUGACUCUGUGCGAGUUGCACCAACCUCAGGAUAUAUGGUGAGGUAUUUAAACAGCAGCAUGUCUUUGUUCUAGUUUCCAUUUAGGUCAUUCAGAUGACUCCAUCUGACUUCAAUGGUCGUUAGAUCAGGAUUUCCCUGAACAGUCAUGUAGGAAAACUUGGUGGUAAAAGUAGUUUCAGACAAAAUCUUUCAUGCAUUGACAUGAAAAGCUGCAGCAUUACUUGUUUAUUUGUUUAAAGUUUGAACUGAAGACUUUCCAUGUACAUUUUCAUUUACAUGGAAGUGUGUGUGUGUGCAUGUGUGUGUGUGUGUGUGUGUGUAAAAUCACAGGUUAGAAUAUUUUGAUUGCAUUUCUAUUACAUAUUUAAUUUAAAAGCUUGCUUAUGAUUUUAAAACUGACAUUACAAACGUGGAUCCUUUUUAAUGAAAACAGUCAUAUUCCAGAUGAAUUGUAUAGGAUGAUUCUUGGUGUUGAACUGAUACUAACUUUGUGCUUUUAAAGUGUAUGGGAUGGAUCCCACACCAGUCAAGCUGGUCUGAACUGAUGGCAAUAGAACUAAAUUGAUUUACACUAGCUGAGGGUAGAGUUCUCUAUUAUAAUAUUAGUUUGCAGAACAAUCUAUAUCAGGAGACAGUAAAAAUCAGAGGAAAGAUCCAUGAACACAGGGAAGAUGUUUUUCUGAUUUACAAAUACACUUUUAUAAUUAUUCCAUUUAGGGGCAGAGAUGUUGUUAUAAUGUGCCUAGAGACAUUUUAUAGCCCGUAUUUCAAGAAAGUGGUAUAUGAAACAUUGCAGGAAUUAUAUAACAUGUCAUUAAGCCAACAGCAGUUGUUAAACAUGUAUAUUAAUCACAAUAGUGUGCAAGCAUGAGAGGGAUAUAAUAAAUAACACUCACUCAAGUUUUACACUCUUCCAUCUAGCAAUAUUCAUUUUCUUCUUUUGCAGUUUUGUGUGAUCUCACUUUCAUUAAAUUUGGAAGGGCACAAUAAAAAAAUGACAAGAAGAAAAAGAUCGACAGCAUAUAAUUUUAUGUUUAGAAAGAGUCAACUUUUUCAUUAAAGGCAGCCUCUCUUCCUCAAUAGAAGCAUUUCAUGGCUGCAAUUUAAGAUUACCUGACAUUAUUGUGAAAGAAAUAGUAGAAAUUCCCAGUGAAAAGGGUCAACAAAAUAGGGGUCAGAAGAACACACCUCUGUCUGUUUCUCUGUUGUUCAUGCUAAAAAUACGAGGGCAUAUGGCAGUACAUUUCAGCAUCUUAGCAUGUUAGGUUCCCUCAAGGACAGGACAAAGAAGAAAGCUUGUGCCGCUGAGCCAGAAAUAGAUUUCUGAACAAGGUUGCCAGACUUCUAGCAUGCUAACAGUGAAGCCAUUAGCAAAGUUGAAGUCUCAUUUUGCCCUAAAGGUGCUUCAGUGGAGUCUUAUGGGACCCAAAGAGAAAGGAAGGCAGAACUAGUGAGGAAGAGGAGAAAAAUAGGGAUUAUUACGAAUUAAAUAUAAGUACAAGGCAAGGAAUUAUACAUAUUGCACUAGGGCAAUUACUGCAUGUAAGUGUACUGUUAAUUCAUGUAACUGCUAGGGGCACUCUAGCUUUUUGAAAUAAUCAAAAUGCAUAUUAUAAUUACAUGGGUUUCCAAUAUCCAUACACAGCAAGUACAAGAUACUUACAUGUAAGUACACUGUAUUUACCUAUAUUUUUGCAUAGUUUUUAGUGUGUACUUUGUGCCACUUAAUAAAAAGCAUUACUCAGUUUUUUUGUAUUAGACAGCUUAUUCAAUUGAAGUUGAAGCAGCUGAAUUUUUGGUAUGUUCAUCAUAGAUUACCAUUUCCUAGGAAUGAGGAGAUUGGACAGCUGGAAGAAUCUAGGUAGGUGUCGGGGAAAGCUGCAGUGUGAACAUGAAGUUUUACGUCACCUUAAUAAAGAAAUGGAAUAUCAGAUUUGUGAUGUUAAUUUAAUAAACUUACCUUUAGUUUGAAUGGACUAGUAAAGGUAAGAAUUCCAUUUUCCUUUUGGUAACACUUUACAAUAAGUGGCACUAAAUUACACUAUAACUGCUAUGUUACAUGGAAGUACAUGUAACUACACUGUAACUGUUGAAAUAGCUACUGUACAUGUGUGUACAUGGUAACUUCAGUGCUGUUACAAUCAUGAAUUACAUAAUUACAGAUGAUCCUGUCCUUUCUUUUCAUUGAAAUCGUUAUAUAUAUUAUACUAUAAUGAAAAUACACAAGAUGUUAACUUUCAUGUCUUGUUUAGAAAAGUUGGUUUUCUUCAUAUAUUCUUUAGAGGAGUCUCAGUGCAAGAUGAACCACCUUUAAGAAAUGUGAGAAGAUUUUUAAACGUCCUAGCUUAAUGCUGAGCCUCAAGUUAAAUAUCAAGUUCCUUAAACUGCUUCUUAGUUUCUCUGAUGACACUAAACAGAGUGGAAAGAUGCACCCAUUGCCUUGCGAUGCCACUUUCUUAUUUAAACGAUUAUGUUUUCAAAGCAUAAAAAAAAGUUAUACAUUUAAAAGCUAAAAAUACCCAAUGGACACUGUAAACAGUACAUUGACAAAAUUUAGCUACCUUGUCUUUAGUAAAUUACUCUGCAUGUGUUGGUGGGUGUGGGUGUCACUAACAUGGUUCCCAUUCAGAACAUUCAUUUUACAUAUAUACUUAGUUUAGGGUCCAAUUGUAAUGGACUCAGUAUUUCAUAACUAGAUCUUGCCAUAAUAGAAACAGACUAUUUAUUUAUUUAGUUUAGUUUAUUAACUAAAUUUAUCUCUGAACCAUGGUUUUACCCGCAAGGGGCCUAAUACUGCCUUACACCAAGGGUAGUCAUUUACAUGUGUAAACAGAGAUAAGUCUAUAAAAUACUACCCCACUGAAUUUUCCAUUCACGUAUGUAGGUUGUAGUAUUUUUGCACCCACUUGCCAGAGAUGUAAAUGACAUCACAGGGUGCAAGGCAACUGAGAAUCAGAUCUAUUGAAAAUGAGCACACAGGAACAAUCUUAACUAAAAGUCAACCAAACAGCGUAGUUUAACAGUCCAAUUUGCAAAGUUUCAGUGCUGAGAAGACAGCUUUCAACAAUCACAUCUGAAGAUGCUCCGACUUUUCACGUACUCACUUGACAUGGUGGUAAGUAAUGACUUAAGCAACAAUUUUAUAGUUCAAGCAACAUGGAGUAAAAAAA
Molecule: long non-coding RNA, 8118 nt
Organism: Gavialis gangeticus (Gharial)
Lineage: Eukaryota; Metazoa; Chordata; Crocodylia; Gavialidae
Exons: 2
Source: RefSeq, a predicted model, not a curated record